Molecule: ribosomal RNA, 244 nt
Filed under: uncultured bacterium
Lineage: Bacteria
Description: partial 16S ribosomal RNA
Rfam family: Bacterial small subunit ribosomal RNA
Source: RNAcentral
UGGGUAACCUGCCUCAAAGAGGGGAAUAGCCUCCCGAAAGGGAGAUUAAUACCGCAUAAUAUGUUUUAGUCGCAUGACUUAAACAUCAAAGGAUUUUCUUUUAGAAAUUCCACUUUGAGAUGGACCCGCGGCGCAUUAGCUAGUUGGUGAGGUAACGGCUCACCAAGGCAACGAUGCGUAGCCGACCUGAGGAGGGCGAUCCGGCCACACGUGGGACUGAGACACGGCCCAGACUCCGUAGGAG